Molecule: non-coding RNA, 651 nt
Organism: Ictidomys tridecemlineatus (thirteen-lined ground squirrel)
Lineage: Eukaryota; Metazoa; Chordata; Mammalia; Rodentia; Sciuridae
Source: RefSeq, a predicted model, not a curated record
UAUUGUCGACUCCGACUCUUCCUCCGCGGAGCACGCCGGGAAACGGCCAGCUGCGGGGGAGGGGCGCACCGGGAGGCGUAGGUUAUCGUUUGCGCAGGACCGGAAGUCUGUAGGCUGCCGGGAAAGGGGCGGCUCCGCCUCCGGUGGCGUUGGGCUUGCCUGGCAACUUGGCUGUCCUGCCCUGACCUGGGAGGAUUUUGCUGGUGUGUGCUAGUCGCCGUCCUGGCGCGAACUUCCCCAAGGGUCUCAUUAAGUUGCUUAGGGCCUUGCUAAGUUGCUGAGCUGGCCUCAAACUUGGGAUCCUCCUGCCUUGGCCUCGCAAGUCACUGAGAUUACAAGCCUGCACCACUGCACCUAGCUCUGACCUUAGUUCUUUAUGACUUCUUUAAGGAAAUACUUGCUGAUCAUUCUUUGAAUGUAUAUUGCUUUUAUUUUCCUUUUAAUAUUUGUACAAGAGCAAUAUGAUAAAAAUGUAUGAAUGAAGCCUACCAAAGCUUUUUAAAUACAUACAAAAUAAAAAGUUAUGUGAUUUUUUUCCUUUGUGUGUACAUUGUCUGUAUUUUUACCACUACAUCUUUGAAAAUGUAUCAUCAUUUAUAACUUAAAAUGUCUUCUGUUAUUUAUCAUACACAAUUAAAGAUUCUUACCCAA